UUGUCCUACGGGGCGCAGCAGUGAGGAAUAUUGGUCAAUGGGCGGGAGCCUGAACCAGCCAAGUUGCGUGAGGGAAGACGGUCCUAUGGAUUGUAAACCUCUUUUGUCGGGGAGCAAGACCCGCCUCGUGCAGGCGGAGCGAGAGUACCCGAAGAAAAAGCAUCGGCUAACUCCGUGCCAGCAGCCGCGGUAAUACGGAGGAUGCGAGCGUUAUCCGGAUUUAUUGGGUUUAAAGGGUGCGCAGGCGGACCAUCAAGUCAGCGGUAAAAUCGUGGGGCCCAACCCCAUCCCGCCGUUGAAACUGG
RNAcentral lists this ribosomal RNA (305 nucleotides) under uncultured bacterium. RNAcentral's name for it is "bacterial SSU rRNA". It matches the Rfam family "Bacterial small subunit ribosomal RNA", at positions 334 to 636 of the family's 1533-position model. The record is from RNAcentral.